Molecule: ribosomal RNA, 837 nt
Filed under: Streptomyces sp. IM-1817
Lineage: Bacteria; Bacillati; Actinomycetota; Actinomycetes; Kitasatosporales; Streptomycetaceae
Description: bacterial SSU rRNA
Rfam family: Bacterial small subunit ribosomal RNA
Source: RNAcentral
GGCGGCGUGCUUAACACAUGCAAGUCGAACGAUGAACCACUUCGGUGGGGAUUAGUGGCGAACGGGUGAGUAACACGUGGGCAAUCUGCCCUGCACUCUGGGACAAGCCCUGGAAACGGGGUCUAAUACCGGAUACUGACCCUCGCAGGCAUCUGCGAGGUUCGAAAGCUCCGGCGGUGCAGGAUGAGCCCGCGGCCUAUCAGCUUGUUGGUGAGGUAAUGGCUCACCAAGGCGACGACGGGUAGCCGGCCUGAGAGGGCGACCGGCCACACUGGGACUGAGACACGGCCCAGACUCCUACGGGAGGCAGCAGUGGGGAAUAUUGCACAAUGGGCGAAAGCCUGAUGCAGCGACGCCGCGUGAGGGAUGACGGCCUUCGGGUUGUAAACCUCUUUCAGCAGGGAAGAAGCGAAAGUGACGGUACCUGCAGAAGAAGCGCCGGCUAACUACGUGCCAGCAGCCGCGGUAAUACGUAGGGCGCGAGCGUUGUCCGGAAUUAUUGGGCGUAAAGAGCUCGUAGGCGGCUUGUCACGUCGGUUGUGAAAGCCCGGGGCUUAACCCCGGGUCUGCAGUCGAUACGGGCAGGCUAGAGUUCGGUAGGGGAGAUCGGAAUUCCUGGUGUAGCGGUGAAAUGCGCAGAUAUCAGGAGGAACACCGGUGGCGAAGGCGGAUCUCUGGGCCGAUACUGACGCUGAGGAGCGAAAGCGUGGGGAGCGAACAGGAUUAGAUACCCUGGUAGUCCACGCCGUAAACGGUGGGCACUAGGUGUGGGCGACAUUCCACGUCGUCCGUGCCGCAGCUAACGCAUUAAGUGCCCCGCCUGGGGAGUACGGCCGC